Molecule: ribosomal RNA, 301 nt
Filed under: uncultured bacterium
Lineage: Bacteria
Description: partial 16S ribosomal RNA
Rfam family: Bacterial small subunit ribosomal RNA
Source: RNAcentral
CAGCCGCCGCGGUAAUACGAAGGAUGCAAGCGUUAAUCGGAAUUACUGGGCGUAAAGCGUGCGUAGGCGGUGAGUUAAGUCUGCUGUGAAAUCCCCGGGCUCAACCUGGGAAUGGCAGUGGAUACUGGCUCGCUAGAGUGUGUCAGAGGAUGGUGGAAUUCCCGGUGUAGCGGUGAAAUGCGUAGAGAUCGGGAGGAACAUCAGUGGCGAAGGCGGCCAUCUGGGACAACACUGACGCUGAGGCACGAAAGCGUGGGGAGCAAACAGGAUUAGAUACCCCGGUAGUCCCUGUCUCUUAUAC